RNAcentral lists this ribosomal RNA (426 nucleotides) under uncultured prokaryote. Its description in RNAcentral is "bacterial SSU rRNA". It matches the Rfam family "Bacterial small subunit ribosomal RNA", at positions 355 to 796 of the family's 1533-position model. The record is from RNAcentral.
UGGGGUAUUUUCCGCAAUGGGCGCAAGCCUGACGGAGCAACGCCGCGUGAGGGAGGAAUGUCUGUGGAUUGUAAACCUCUUUUCUCUGGGAAGAAGAUCUGACGGUACCAGAGGAAUCAGCAUCGGCUAACUCCGUGCCAGCAGCCGCGGUAAUACGGGGGAUGCAAGCGUUAUCCGGAAUUACUGGGCGUAAAGCGUCUGUAGGUGGCUUGGUUAGUCUAUUGUUAAAUAUUAGGGCUUAACCCUGAGACAGCAUUAGAAACUUCUAAGCUAGAGUAUGGUAUGGGCAAAGGGAAUUCCCAGUGUAGCGGUGAAAUGCGUAGAUAUUGGGAAGAACACCAGUAGCGAAAGCGCUUUGCUUGGCCUCAGCUGACACUGAGAGACGAAAGCUAAGGUAGCGAAUGGGAUUAGAUACCCGUGUAGUCC